RNAcentral lists this long non-coding RNA (1271 nucleotides) under Callithrix jacchus (white-tufted-ear marmoset). RNAcentral's name for it is "lncRNA (ENSCJAG00000082006.1)". The record is from RNAcentral. Lineage: Eukaryota; Metazoa; Chordata; Mammalia; Primates; Cebidae.
UCUUGAACUUUUUGAAAUAUCAUUUGCAACACUUGCUGUUCAUUAUAAUCAACACUAGAAGUAAAAACAGUAAUACUGCUUCCUGAAUUUGAUUCACUUCCAGGGAUUCUGAUUUAAUUGGUCUUAGGUGGGAAUCAGGCAUUUGCAUUUUUAAAGAAUAGUUUCUCCCUCACUGCCUAUUGUGUGUGAGGCUUGAAAAGUGCUGUACUUCAUACUACUUUGUUAUUUAAAACUGCAUGUUUUCUUGAUAUAAGUGAUCUCCUCUCCUUGUAUGUGUCAACAUUAUUAACUACAGUAUCUAUAAACAUCUCAAAUGUUAAAUUGAGAGCAAGCCAAAUACUAGGAUAUUUAAAAACCUUGUCUUGACGUCAAGCAUGGAAGAUCAAAUACACUAACUUUGUGGUUGCCAGUAAGCAUUCCCAGUGUUUGUCUAACUCCAAAAAAAAUUAUUAUAUUUGUUUUUUGGCAUCUAAAAACAGUCAGUUCCACAAACCACGUUUGCUUUUGAUCAAAGGCAAUUCUAGGUCACUGGCUGAAUGGGAUGGGUCCAGCUAGUAUUCCUAAUCAGACGGUGUCAUCCGCUCUGAAGAAGGUAGACAAAAAAUUAAGUUGUGUUUGGUGAGUUAAUAUGACUGAAUUCAAUCAGAUACCUGGCCCUGUUAGACUUUUAUUCUUCUAGUCCGCUUUAGCAUGAAGACUCUUAAGAAAGAGCAUGGGAUAUGUAAAAGCAACCUAAGAAUUGAGGAAAGGUGAACAGAUGAGGUCACUUUGCCUUCCGUAAAAUGCAAAUGGCAAGAGAUGAGACUUUACCUGCAGGUGAAGUUCUGGGAACACUGGGAUAUAAAGUGGUAUGACACAUUGAACACUGGGAUAUAAAGUGGUAUGACACAUUGAGCUAGAUUUAGCUGGAUUUGGUUUUCCUUUGGUGUAACAUGGGCAUGUUCGUUGAUACAGUUUGGCUCUGUGUCCCCACCCAAAUCUCAUCAAGAUUAUAAUCCCCAUGUACUGAGAGAGGAACCUGGUGGAUGGAGAUUGGAUCAUGGGAGCUAUUUCCUCCAUGCUGUUCUCCUGAUGGGAAACCCAGGAGAAGAGGUAAUGCAUUCUGUCUGAAACCAACAGAAAAGAUUUAGACGGUAGGUAUGCAGUUUGAACUGAAUUCUAAGACAGCAUGGUAUAAAUUUUAGUGUCAAACAUGAAUGUCUGCCAUUUGUUUAAUAAAAUCAGUUUGGGGAAAUUACUUUGCUCAGGGUAAACACUCUGGAUCAUACUGC